AUUGAACGCUGGCGGCGGGCCUAACACAUGCAAGUCGAACGGGUGGCGGACUGGUGAGUAGUUUCUGGAAAACUGCCUGAUGUAGGGGGAUAACUGCUGGAAACGGUAGCUAAUACCGCAUACCAUCAGAUGUGCCCAUAUGGGAUUAGCUAGUUGGGGGGGUAACGGCUCACCAAGGCGACGAGCCCUAGCUGGUCUGAGAGGAUGACCAGCCACACUGGAACUGAGACACGGUCCAGACUCCUACGGGAGGCAGCAGUGGGGAAUAUUGCACAAUGGGCGAAAGCCUGAUGGAGCAAUGCCGCGUGUAUGAAGAAGGCCUUCGGGUUGUAAAGUACUUUUAGUGGGGAGGCGUUACCCGACGAAGAAGCAACGGCUAACUCCGUGCCAGCAGCCGCGGUAAUAC
Molecule: ribosomal RNA, 406 nt
Filed under: uncultured bacterium
Lineage: Bacteria
Description: partial 16S ribosomal RNA
Rfam family: Bacterial small subunit ribosomal RNA
Source: RNAcentral